CGAAAGUGUACCUAGGGUUCCGAAGGCUGAAGCCUUGUCUGGUCCAAGCGGUACGAGUAUUCUUUACUGAAUAUGACACCUUAGGGAAAAAAGCCCAGGGGGU
Molecule: small RNA, 103 nt
Filed under: Treponema phagedenis
Lineage: Bacteria; Pseudomonadati; Spirochaetota; Spirochaetia; Treponematales; Treponemataceae
Description: ykkC-yxkD
Source: RNAcentral